Homo sapiens (human) is the source of this 2462-nucleotide long non-coding RNA. Ensembl annotates it as SDHA pseudogene 4. Its record names the gene SDHAP4. Lineage: Eukaryota; Metazoa; Chordata; Mammalia; Primates; Hominidae. The record is from Ensembl.
GGCGGGACUGCGCGGAGGCGACUGCAGACGUAUCGGGGGUCCGGAGCCUGUCGCGGCUGCUAAGCGCUCGGCGCCUGGCGCUGGCGCUGGCCAAGGCUUGGCCAACAGUGUUGCAAACAGGAACCCGAGGUGUUCACUUCACUGUUGAAGGAACGAGAGGGCAUCUGCUAAAGUUUCAGAUUCCAUUUCUGCUCAGUAUCCAGUAGUGGAUCAUGAAUUUGAUGCAGUGGUGGUAGGCGCUGGAGGGGCAGGCUUUGCGAGCUGCAUUUGGCCUUUCCGAGGCAGAGUUUGAUACAGCAUGUGUUACCAAGCUGUUUCCUACCAGGUCACACACUGUUGCAGCGCAGGUUGGAAUCAAUGCUGCUCUGGGGAACAUGGAGGAGGACAACUGGAGGUGGCAUUUCUAUGACACCGUGAAGGGCUCCGACUGGCUGGGGGACCAGGAUGCCAUCCACUACGUGACGGAGCAGGCCCCCACUGCCAUGGUCGAGCUAGAAAAUUAUGGCAUGCCGUUUAGCAGAACUGAAGAUGGGAAGAUUUAUCAGCGUGCAUUUGGUGGACAGAGCCUCAAGUUUGGAAAGGGCAGGCAGGCCCAUCGGUGCUGCUGUGUGGCUGAUCGGACCGGCCACUCAAUAUUGCACACCUCAUAUGGGAGGUCUCUGAGAUAUGAUACCAGCUGUUUUGUGGAGUAUUUUGCCUUGGAUCUCCUGAUAGAGAACAGGGAGUGCCGUGGUGUCAUUGCACUGUGCAUAGAGGACGGGUCCAUCCAUCACAUAAGAGCAAAGAACACUGUUGUUGCCACAGGAGUCAAGAAACUUUUCUUUUGAGCUAUUGACAGCUUUUAACAAGUUAUUAUACUCCUAUGAACAAAAUUUGGAGCAUAUUUGUUUCUCUCUGCCUGAUUUCUCCUGAAUUUGGAAACUAUUUGUGAGUAUUCUUAACUUAUCGUAAUAUAGUUAUUUGCAUAAGUGCAAUAAUAAUCUGUUUUUAUUUGUAACAGGACACAAUUGAAGAAACUGGUUAUUCUACCAUGGCUUUGACUGGAAUGGUGUGCUUUCCUUUAAGGAAUUAAACUUGUUUUAUGAAGCCAGUAAAAGCCCCUUGGGAAAGCUGGCCAAAUACCCUGUCUACACAGUCCCUGAACAGGGUUCCUGAUCUGUGGUAAAUAAAGAAUGUCACUUUCUGACAGGCCCAGGAGCCCCAAGUUUUACCUCGGGACCUCAAAAGGAGAGGAAUUCAUGCAACUCAUAGGUAUUUGAUGGUACAAAUCCAUGGCAGGGCUCAGCUUUAAACAAGUCUUUUCUGAGAUUCCUUCUAUGGAAUAAAGUUCCAUCAAAGUCAAUUUAAAAGCCUGUGUAAAAAAAUAAUUAUUCUUGCUGCACUGUAUACAAAUAAUCAGGCCAAGUAUAAUAAAGGAAAUCAGUCGUACCAUGAUUUGUCUUUAGUAAAAAUGAGAAACUGGAGAGAGAAAAACUAUGUUUUAAAAACUAUAGUACACCUGUUGUUAGAUUCUAGUCUUGCCCAAUGUUUUUCAAUUUUUAUUAUUUUCUACAGUUUGGACCAAAUUCUAGUUUUUCUUGGCUACAAGUCUUCAAUAUAACGUUUUCAAUUUUUUCCCUUUCUUUUUUCUAUUUUUCCUAAUUUGGAGUCACUGAAAGCUAAGCUGUGCUUUGUGAAGCCCUGUGAACUGAAGCUAGACAACUUAAACUUCAGAAGAAAAUAACAGCAACCUGUUUACAUAUAUAAGCUACUUUCAUACCUGCCUACUGAUGUAUGGACUUCAGAGUAGUGUGGCCUAUAUCGAUUUUCUAGGAUCAUUAUUUUGUUUGUUGUUUUUCUCCCUUCCUCCACCUAUUUUCUCUUCAUAGGACAUGAGGAUUCUCAACCUGAUAAAAAUGAGCUUUCCUAAUAACUCAAGACCCAUCUGCCUAGGAAUAAACCAUCCCAGCUGUGAGAGACCAGACGAAACCUGAGACCAGAGACUCGUUUUCUUCUAAAAUGCUUUCUCCAAAAGAUUUUUAAACAGAAAAAGGGGGAAAUGUGAAAGGAAAAGAAAACUUGAGGCCCCCAAAAUCACUAAGCUAAAAGGAAAAGUCAAGCUGGGAAUGGCUUAGGGCAAACCUGCCUCCCAUUCUAUGCAAAGUCAUCCCUCCGUGCACUGAGAUAAAUGCUUAUCUAAUUGCCUCCUUUGGAGAGGCUCAUCAGAAACUCAAAAUAAUGCAACCAUUUGACUCUCACCUACCUGUGACCUGGAAGAUCCCUCUCUGCUUGAGUUGUCCUGCUUUUCUGGAUGGAACCAAUGUUCAUCUUACAUAUAUUGAUUGAUGUCUCAUGUCUCCCUAAAAUGUAUAAAACCAAGCUGUGCCCUGACCACCUUGGGCACAUGUCGUCAGGACCUCCUGAGGCUGUGCCACAGGCAUGCAGCCUCAACCUUGGCAAAAUAAACUUUCUAAAUUGACUGA